UACCAGCUCUCCGAGCGGUAGGGAUGAUUAUUGGGCUUAAAGCGUCCGUAGCCGGCUUAGCAAGUUUCCUGUUAAAUUCAGCGACCUAAUCGUUGAGCCGCGGGAAAUACUACUAGGCUAGGAGGCGGGAGAGGUCGACGGUACUUCUGGGGUAGGGGUGAAAUCCUAUAAUCCCGGGAGGACCACCAGUGGCGAAGGCUGUCGACUAGAACGCGCUCGACGGUGAGGGACGAAAGCUGGGGGAGCGAACCGGAUUAGAUACCCGGGUAGUCCCAGCUGUAAACGAUGCGGGCUAGGUGUUGGGGUGGCUACGUGCCACUUCAGUGCCGCAGGGAAGCCAUUAAGCCCGCCGCCUGGGGAGUACGGCCGCAAGGCUGAAACUUAAAGGAAUUGGCGGGGGAGCACCACAAGGCGUGAAGCUUGCGGUUC
Molecule: ribosomal RNA, 429 nt
Filed under: uncultured archaeon
Lineage: Archaea
Description: bacterial SSU rRNA
Rfam family: Archaeal small subunit ribosomal RNA
Source: RNAcentral